Molecule: ribosomal RNA, 301 nt
Filed under: uncultured bacterium
Lineage: Bacteria
Description: partial 16S ribosomal RNA
Rfam family: Bacterial small subunit ribosomal RNA
Source: RNAcentral
CAGUCGCCGCGGUAAUACGGAGGGAGCUAGCGUUGUUCGGAAUUACUGGGCGUAAAGCGCACGUAGGCGGCUUUGUAAGUCAGAGGUGAAAGCCUGGAGCUCAACUCCAGAACUGCCUUUGAGACUGCAUCGCUCGAAUCCGGGAGAGGUGAGUGGAAUUCCGAGUGUAGAGGUGAAAUUCGUAGAUAUUCGGAAGAACACCAGUGGCGAAGGCGGCUCACUGGACCGGUAUUGACGCUGAGGUGCGAAAGCGUGGGGAGCAAACAGGAUUAGAUACCCCAGUAGUCCCUGUCUCUUAUAC